GAUGAACGCUGGCGGCGUGCCUAAUACAUGCAAGUCGAGCGAACGGACGAGAAGCUUGCUUCUCUGAUGUUAGCGGCGGACGUGUGAGUAACACGUGUAUAACCUACCUAUAAGACUGGGAUAACUUCGGGAAACCGGAGCUAAUACCGGAUAAUAUUUUGAACCGCAUGGUUCAAAAGUGAAAGACGGUCUUGCUGUCACUUAUAGAUGUUUCCGCGCUUCAUUAGCUAGUUGGUAAGGUAACGGCUUACCAAGGCAAGGAUGCAUAGCCGACAUGAGAGGGAGAUCGGCCACACUGGAACUGAGACACGGACCAGAGUCCUACGGGAGGCAGCAGUAGGGAAUCUUACGCAAUGGGCGAAAGCAUGACGGAGCAACGCCGCGUGAGUGAUGAAGGUCUUCGGAUCGUAAAACUCUGUUAUUAGGGAAGAACAUAUGUGUAAGUAACUGUGCACAUCUUGACGGUACCUAAUCAGAAAGCCACGGCUAACUACGUG
Molecule: ribosomal RNA, 497 nt
Filed under: uncultured bacterium
Lineage: Bacteria
Description: partial 16S ribosomal RNA
Rfam family: Bacterial small subunit ribosomal RNA
Source: RNAcentral